This 253-nucleotide ribosomal RNA is filed under the name uncultured bacterium. RNAcentral describes it as "partial 16S ribosomal RNA". It matches the Rfam family "Bacterial small subunit ribosomal RNA", at positions 524 to 776 of the family's 1533-position model. The record is from RNAcentral.
UACAGAGGUCCCAAGCGUUGUUCGGAUUCAUUGGGCGUAAAGGGUGCGUAGGCGGUGGGGUAAGUUGGAUGUGAAAUCUUGGGGCUUAACCUCAAAAUUGCAUUCAAUACUGCUCCGCUCGAGUUCUGUAGAGGGGAUUGGAAUUUACGGUGUAGCAGUGAAAUGCGUAGAUAUCGUAAGGAACGCCAGUGGCGAAAGCGAAUCUCUGGGCAGCAACUGACGCUGAGGCACGAAGGCCAGGGGAGCAAACGGG